UUACCAGGCCUUGACAUGCAGAGAACUUUCCAGAGAUGGAUUGGUGCCUUCGGGAACUCUGACACAGGUGCUGCAUGGCUGUCGUCAGCUCGUGUCGUGAGAUGGUUGGGUUAAGUCCCGUAACGAGCGCAACCCUUGUCCUUAGUUACCAGCACGUUAUGGUGGGCACUCUAAGGAGACUGCCGGUGACAAACCGGAGGAAGGUGGGGAUGACGUCAAGUCAUCAUGGCCCUUACGGCCUGGGCUACACACGUGCUACAAUGGUCGGUACAAAGGGUUGCCAAGCCGCGAGGUGGAGCUAAUCCCAUAAAACCGAUCGUAGUCCGGAUCGCAGUCUGCAACUCGACUGCGUGAAGUCGGAAUCGCUAGUAAUCGUGAAUCAGAAUGUCACGGUGAAUACGUUCCCGGGCCUU
Molecule: ribosomal RNA, 413 nt
Filed under: uncultured Pseudomonas sp.
Lineage: Bacteria; Pseudomonadati; Pseudomonadota; Gammaproteobacteria; Pseudomonadales; Pseudomonadaceae
Description: bacterial SSU rRNA
Rfam family: Bacterial small subunit ribosomal RNA
Source: RNAcentral